Small nucleolar RNA from Apodemus sylvaticus (European woodmouse), 136 nucleotides. RefSeq annotates it as small nucleolar RNA SNORA17. The transcript has a single exon. NCBI's taxonomy places the organism in Eukaryota, Metazoa, Chordata, Mammalia, Rodentia, Muridae. The record is from RefSeq and is a predicted model, not a curated record.
CCUGCCCCUAGAAGGGUUGCAGGUAUGGCUGUUGUGUCAUAUGUAUAUCAGUAGGGGACAGAGAAGAGAGAAGCUAGGUCUAUGGUUAAUGUUCUGACCUGUGAACAUCUGAAUGAUUAGUAAGUAGCCUAACAUU